Molecule: long non-coding RNA, 5420 nt
Filed under: Sus scrofa (pig)
Lineage: Eukaryota; Metazoa; Chordata; Mammalia; Artiodactyla; Suidae
Description: lncRNA (ENSSSCG00065072839.1)
Source: RNAcentral
AUUGGAUCAUUCAUUACUCUCUUGAAUUCAAAUCAACAUCAGAUUUAUAGUUGGAGGCUGUUGAAAUAUUGAUUUCGUUAUAGAAAUGUCAAGCUUGGCAAGGUAAGCUGUCUUAUUGCCACAGAAGGCUUUUGCUUUAGUAAACUUAUUUUUAAAAGCAGGUGGAACGUAAUGAGCAAGCGAUUUGCAUCCGUAGCAGGUAUGGCGAGAAGUUUUUAAAAUUUAAAGAGUCUACUUAACACCCCUCUGAUGCCAAAUUCCUGUCGUUAAAGUAACAAACCUGAACCACAGUAUACAAAUCCUAGUUAUUAAAAGGUCUGAUGCCGAUCUUCUGUUUCUACAGGCCCAUGACAUACUUAAAGUGGGGGUACUGAGUGGCACAAGGUGUCAUUAUUAGGGUAGUGUGUGGCUGUAGUUAGAUACAGAUGCUACAUGGUUCUGCAGUUUCUGGCCUGAUAAACAUAACACACCGUAUCAUCUUCCCAUAGAUCUUAGUUUAAUUGUCUUUAGAAAUAACAGAUCUUCCCUGCUUGUCUCUCAGUGCUGUAGAAUAAAUGAAUAUAUAUAUUUUUGAAAGCACCCUCCAUCCUCUUUACUGUCAAAAUACACAUUUUUCCCUUGAGAAAUCAUUAUGUAAAUCUGGUGCAGUCACGUUUCUCUACAGGAAGAAAAAAAAAAAAAAAAAAGGUCACUUACUAUAUUUCCAAUGAGCUAAUCAGGAAAAAAAUGGGGAGGGAGGGAGGGGAGAUUUAAAAAGAAAAAAAGAAAAGAAGGAAAAGACAAUAAUAUAUAUGGAAAAAAUGGUGAGUACCUAUAUGGUGCUUAACUUUGAAGCGUGUUUUGGUAUGUCAGAAAUUAUUUUCUACUCUGUUACUUUAAGCAAGUCUUCUUACAUGCGGAUCUCUUUCCACUCUCUAAAGAUAUGCACUGGGUACACCUAUAGCUGACAGCCACUUCUCCCUCUUCCUGGGUAAAAAAGAAUGAGGUACUGAAAAGGAGAAGAGGGGUUCUAUCAACUCAUCCUCACCUGCCCACAUUAUAUGUAUAAGAGAAUGGAGAUGUAUUGUGCUCACCCAUUUAUGCAUUAAGAGAAAAGCUGAGAAGAUCCUGGAAACUUAACUGCCUCCCCAGACCCUCCCUUAGAGCUAUUCCUUUUUGCUUUUCCUGACCUGGUCAGGAGGGCACACGACCUAAACCACCUUGAGCUGGUGAGACUAAGUUCUCAGCUACUGACCACGCUGAGAAAGUAAUCAAUUCCAGAGGGGCACAUUGCAGCUUUUGUCCCAGUUUUCAGCGGAGAGAAUCCUAAACCAGUUGUGGUUGUUUUCCUCCUGUCCCAUGACUAGAAUUUACAAAGAACUGUUUCACAUCAAGAUGGUACACCAACUUUUUGUUUUGUUUUGUUUUUUGUUUUGCUUUGUUUAAAUCCUGGGAGCUGAGCACCUUAGCAAACUCCUCUGAGCAAGCCCUACAAGUUCCCACCCUUAUAACACCUCAAUCUGAUGAUUCAAAAAAGAAACCUUUUAAUCUCAGCUCACUGAUCAGCUAAGAUAUUUUAAUGUUUUAGCUGUGAGUAAAAAAUAAUAUGCUUUCUCAAAGAGAACACCGUUAGCCUUCGGUGUCCAAGACUCUAGAAUUGGGAGUGGAAAAAUGAGCCCUGGGCUUCUGUUUCUGCCCACAGUUUUAAAAUUAAGAAUGGUAUCUUUGCACUUAAUGAAACAACCCUUCGUUGCUCAUCAAGAGGACUCAGAAUAUCAACUCUCCAGGCCCCUGACAGGGGAGUGUAAGUACUAUAUGCAGUACUUUUAAACUUGAGCAAGUAUUUUCUCCACUGAAAUUAUAGUUUUGGAAAUUCUAAUUCUUAAUCUGCUAUCCAAUUCAAAAUAGUAUUUUCGCAAAACUGAGAUGGUAGUAGAAUUGCCUCUUUUCCUUCUUUUGUGGAAUUCUUCAAAAAUGUGAAAGACGUUCAUUAAGGGAAAUCAUAAAUUAGCAAACCAGAUAAGGUAAAACUGCAUGCAGUUCACUCUGAGAAUAUGCAUUUAGUAGUAUGGUCUUGCUUCGUAUAUUUGGUGUUACAAUGGCAGAAAUAUCAUCCAUAUAAGGAAAAUGAGUUUGUGGUCCCAGGACGCUAAUGGGGUUGUCCAAGAAACCAGAUAUGCCAAUGAGGCAUUUUCUGCAUCCUUCUCAUAAUAUUUGCAAAGAUGAGAAGAGUUGUAAUUCUAAAUGCAGAGUCUUGUUUAAUUCCUUUUUCUAAGAAGUGGUGGGAAAGAUGGGUACAGUAAGGAAAUACUACUGCAGAUUACUGCCAAAGUCGAUUUCUUCUUUUUUGAUGUUUACGCGUAUAUUCAUCCUGUUAGCACAUAAAAUUCACAGCGUGAGUACUAUCAAAACUUUUUCAUUCCUGCAUUUAGCCAGUUUGGCUGUUAGCUAUUAGAGUCGUAGAGGUGGUCAUAUUGUAACACUAUAUCCAUAAUAUGAUUCGAUUAAGAUAAUUAUGCAGAAACAAACCUCCAUGAAAGAUUACCUCCUUACAUGCCUUUAUUUUUGACAUCAGUUUUUAAAGUUUUAUUGAAGUAGAGUUUAUUUACAAGGUGAUUUCUUCUUAAAUUAUUGUGUUUGGUUUAAUUUAGAUUUUCAGAAACAGAAAAAAGUGCUGUGAGAAUCCUCUAUGCUGUGAGAUCAUGUAGAUGAAGCUCUUGGUAUGUUAUACAGUGUGAUGAAAAUACUAAAAGCUAAUUGAUGCCCUAAGUGGGCUGGACUGGUUGUUCCCCCAAAAGGGCUUUACAUCUGGUGAAUCUGCUCCUUAGAUGAGCUGAUGGGCUGCACUGCCCUCGUCUCUAGGAGGCUGGCCCUGCGAUGCUGCUGUUUUCCCUGCACACAUUUUGGGCCCCAUCCCCUCAGGUCUUCAUUCAGGGCUGCCUCUACUGCUCCCACAAUUGCUUGCUGGCUGGUAGAGUUUUUUCGCUUCUUUGCCACUUUUGCCAUUCUCUGCCUUAAAAGGUCCAAAUUUGCAGUUCAACAAAUCCACAUGACUACUGUCUGUGCCACUGUGAUUCUCUAAAAUAGACAAUAACUGCCGUGAAAUGAUGCCUCAUUAUUUUUAAUCUUUUAACCUUUUGAAGUAGAAGUAUUUGAUGAGACAAACACAUCAUUUAAAAGACUUCAAAUGAGUUAUGGGUUAGAAUCAGAUGCCUGUAUAUUCCCUUGUGUAGAAAUACUUGAACAUCAUGGACAUGUAAAGGGACUGGGCUCUGGGAACCAACAAGCGCGUUAUCAGUGAGCUCCGUAACCUCUGGACGGACGCCCCUUUUCGGAUCCGCUCUCCUUGACUAUAAAGUGGAAGUCUGCAAUAAGUGAUCCAUGAGUCUGCGCAGUUCUGUACUUCUCACCACCCUUUACCAGAAAUAGCAUGUCCUGUUCCAGUCAGACUCAUGAAUGUAGAAGCCACUGAAUUAUAAACAUGCUUUUGAUGCUACAGUGUCACUGUUCUCUCCAUUUUGUCCCCAGCCUCUAACGUUGUUCUGCAGAAAGUACUUGACAGAAAGAUGAAUUGAAUAUAUGAUUAAUUAAUGGUCCAGUAAUAAGCAUUUCAAAUUGAUUCAGUCUUCAUUAGUAUAAAAUAGGAAUUUUUUUUUUACCUAUUGGGUUAAUAAAAAGCCCCAGUUAUUCUCACAUCUUUACUGUAUCUCAGUCUGAAUUUGAGACCAGAAGUCAAUUUCUACUGACCUCAGGUAGACAUUUAGAGAAGAAAAAAAAGAAAAAAAAAUUAAUUUGUACAUGUAAGUUUUAAACAUAGUUGUGGUCUGUAUUUUCUGCAGCUGAUAUUCUUAUAAAAAUCAUUGGAAAAGUGAAAGUCAUUUCUCAAAAUCACUUGCCUAAAUGAUGAAAAACUUUCUUGAAAACACUAAGCCCCCCAAAUAAAAUCUUUGCUUUUGCUUCUGUUAAUCAAUUACAUUGACCUAAGACCAUUUAACAAUGCCUAACUUAUUAUAGGAAUGGUUAAGAUGUAGACUCAGAGGUUAGCUCCUAGAAUCAAUUAAAUUCAUUUAAACCAGCAUCACCUGUUUGCAGUCCCCUCUAACAGUGUACUUUCUACCGUACGUCCAUUCCCCUCUCUUCCCUGUUCUUGAGCAAAGUACUUUCAAUUUUUCUAGGUGUCCUAGGUUCACUCAGUUGUUAUUACUACACGACUAAAGUACGUCCCAUUUACCUAAAUUCCUCUAUGAAUAUUCCUUACUAUACUUAACAAACUGCCUAAAAGUAAACAUUUUGUCCAACAUAUGUUCAAGCCCUUAAAAUUUCCUGCACCAUUGGAAAUGCAACAAAUUUACUUUGUAGACACAUCAGUUUAAACUUUGAGUCAGGUUAAGUUGUUAUAGUUACAAAACACAGUUUUUAAAACUGCUAAUUAUUCUAAGAAAAUAUCAGCUCCAUUUGAUUUCCACCACAGUACCCAGAAAAGGAAAAACGGAGCUUCAAAAGAAGUGAAAGUAUUUUUUCAAGUGAUUAAGGGACUUUAGGUAGAGUGAUGAUUACAUAGAGUAAAUUAAUACUUCUGAUAAAAUUAAUAAAUGAACAUUUUUGGAUUUUUAAUGAAGGCAUCUGUAGGAAACAAUUAUCUGCUGUCCUAAAGAUAAUUUUAAAUAUUUGACAGUGAUAUUAUGCAGAAAAAUAUCUUUAUAGCUAUGCAUUUGGGUUCGAUUCUUCCCAGAUCUCUGCACACCCCACAUGAUUUUUCUUAAUUAAAACCACAGUGGGGUGAUUCAUUUAGGGAGGAUAAAAGCAGAGCUCAAGGGUCAGCAGAAUGACAUAGUGGAAACUGUCGACUGUGGUCCCAUGGUAUUUUCUAAGUUUGGAGGCAACCAUUUCCUGGUUGAGUUCUGCCCACAGAUCUCUCAUAGAAAUUCAGAAGAACCAGUGAACUCUACUAGUAUAUUAAACAGAGGCUGUGUCCCCAGAGAGUUGGUUUAGUUGAAGACUUUUGACUUCUACAUCUUCCUCUUCAAAAUACUUGACUUCUUGGCCAAAGUUAAAUCACCUCAUUUUUGUUCUGGGAACAAAUCUCAAAAACAUAUUCAUCUACUGCUGAUAACAGAAAAGAAUGGAAAAACUGUUCUAGUCAAAGAGCAACAAUUAAAUUAAUAAAUGUUAUGAUAGUCUUUGGGGCUGUUAGUAGCAAUAGUUUCACUUGCAUAAGAGCAUUGAGCCCAAAUCUAUAACCUUAAAUAAGAAGAAUAUUCUUCCUUAAGCAAAUCAGCAAUUCAAGUGUUAAAGAUGAAUGCAAAAUUGAAGAUAGAGGGAAAUUUUAAUUUUUCAGAAGUAUUUUCUAAGAUUAAAUUAAAAUGUCUGGCUAAACAAAAACCUUGAGUAUUUAGCUAAAAAUUCUAUAUUUAAACUAUGUAGACUGAGAUGGGUGUAUG